RNAcentral lists this long non-coding RNA (247 nucleotides) under Elaeis guineensis (African oil palm). Its description in RNAcentral is "long non-coding RNA (EGUI_LNC065282)". Lineage: Eukaryota; Viridiplantae; Streptophyta; Magnoliopsida; Arecales; Arecaceae. The record is from RNAcentral.
CACCAAAAUUAUGCCAAGAGGACACUCUACAGAUAUCUCACAAUCUAAAAUUUGAUUUUGAGCUCCAACACAUGAAAAAAUCAAAUCGUAGGGCACACUAGCAACACUUGCUAAUUCUCUCACUAUCCUUCUUACAACUUUUGCCUCACAAUUUUUUUUUGCCUUUUUCUCAAAUUUUUUUCAAUUUUUUUUUUGAUUUACACACCACUUAUCUCUAGUUUUCACCCAAAAACCUAGCACCAGGGCU